GUUGACUGUUUUCUUGUUGACUGUUUUCUUGUUGACUGUUUUCUUGUUGACUGUUUUCUUGUUGACUGAUUAUGGUUGACGUUUUCUUGUUGACUGUUUUCUUGUUGACAUUUUCUUGCUGACUGUUUUUUGUUGACUGUUUUGGUGUUGACUGUUUUCCUGUUGACCGUUUCCCUGUUGACCGGUUUGGUGUUGACUGUUUUCUUGCUGACUGUUUAUGUUUGAGUGUUUUCUUGCUUGUGUCGGCAGUCGUGGCCAAAGGAGGAUUCAGACAAUUUUCCGAACUUUCUGGUUGGUUUCUACUGUCCGAUAUUGUAGCACGCUAACUUUGUUUGGGCUCCUGAACGACACGGGGGAGCAGCGUCUGCCUCACAACCAAUCAGGUUAGAGGAGGUGGAGAACGGCUUUGUUUACAGUCAGAAAGAGCGGACCGCUCAAAAAUGUUCAAAUGUUGACGACACAGACAUAAGAGAACACAGAGAUAUCAAUAUAUUACCAAAUAAUCAAUAACUAAUAACUAUUGACUGAUAUUAGAAGA
Non-coding RNA from Xyrichtys novacula (pearly razorfish), 538 nucleotides. NCBI's taxonomy places the organism in Eukaryota, Metazoa, Chordata, Actinopteri, Labriformes, Labridae. The record is from the annotation of a GenBank genome assembly.